GGCCUCUGGAAUCNGACACUGCGGGNAACCCUGAUGCAGCCAUGCCGCGUGUGUGAAGAAGGCCUUCGGGUUGUAAAGCACUUUCAGUUGUGAGGAAAAGUUAGUNGUUAAUACCUGCUAGCCGUGACGUUAACAACAGAAGAAGCACCGGCUAACUCCGUGCCNGCAGCCGCGGUAAU
RNAcentral lists this ribosomal RNA (179 nucleotides) under uncultured bacterium. RNAcentral's name for it is "partial 16S rRNA". It matches the Rfam family "Bacterial small subunit ribosomal RNA", at positions 351 to 524 of the family's 1533-position model. The record is from RNAcentral.